This 443-nucleotide ribosomal RNA is filed under the name uncultured bacterium. RNAcentral describes it as "SSU rRNA". It matches the Rfam family "Bacterial small subunit ribosomal RNA", at positions 26 to 518 of the family's 1533-position model. The record is from RNAcentral.
AGAGCGAACGCUGGCGGCAGGCCUAAUACAUGCAAGUCGAACGGAUCCUUCGGGAUUAGUGGCGGACGGGUGAGUAACACGUGGGAACGUGCCCUUUGGUUCGGAACAACUCAGGGAAACUUGAGCUAAUACCGGAUGUGCCCUUCGGGGGAAAGAUUUAUCGCCAUUGGAGCGGCCCGCGUCUGAUUAGCUAGUUGGUGGGGUAAAGGCCCACCAAGGCUACGAUCAGUAGCUGGUCUGAGAGGAUGAUCAGCCACACUGGGACUGAGACACGGCCCAGACUCCUACGGGAGGCAGCAGUAGGGAAUCUUGCGCAAUGGGCGAAAGCCUGACGCAGCCAUGCCGCGUGAAUGAUGAAGGUCUUAGGAUUGUAAAAUUCUUUCAGCGGGACGAUAAUGACGGUACCGCAGAAGAACGCCCGGCUAACUCGUGCCAGCAGCCGC